UAAUAGAAUUAUGGAUGAAUUAUUAGAUAAGACCGUGGUUGCGGGCAAGUCAAUAGAGACAGAAACUGCACGUGAUCGUAAGUAUUCAGUCCAGCCGUCUCUCGUUACAGAGAAAAAUAUGUUUGGUCCAUGAUGCUCCGCAAGAAAAGAUGAUUUAAAGAAUUGCGUAAGACGAUACAUAUGCGAACUGACGUACAAAAGGUCGUAGAACGUUUCGAUAAGCGUUGGAAUAAGGCUGGCGGUUCUUUUUGAAAAAUACAU
This is a long non-coding RNA of Bombus impatiens (common eastern bumble bee), 261 nucleotides long. RefSeq lists it as uncharacterized. The record is from RefSeq and is a predicted model, not a curated record. The transcript has 3 exons. Lineage: Eukaryota; Metazoa; Arthropoda; Insecta; Hymenoptera; Apidae.